This 71-nucleotide transfer RNA is filed under the name Planctomycetia bacterium. RNAcentral's name for it is "tRNA-Gln". It matches the Rfam family "tRNA". From Rfam's summary of the family: Transfer RNA (tRNA) molecules are approximately 80 nucleotides in length. Their secondary structure includes four short double-helical elements and three loops (D, anti-codon, and T loops). The record is from RNAcentral. Lineage: Bacteria; Pseudomonadati; Planctomycetota; Planctomycetia.
UGGGGUAUAGCGUAAAGGCAGCGCAGCUGGCUCUGAACCAGUUAGUCGGGGUUCGAAUCCCUGUACCCCAG